This 497-nucleotide ribosomal RNA is filed under the name uncultured bacterium. RNAcentral describes it as "partial 16S ribosomal RNA". It matches the Rfam family "Bacterial small subunit ribosomal RNA", at positions 28 to 507 of the family's 1533-position model. The record is from RNAcentral.
GAUGAACGCUGGCGGCGUGCCUAAUACAUGCAAGUCGAGCGAACAGACGAGGAGCUUGCUCCUUCGACGUUAGCGGCGGACGGGUGAGUAACACGUAGGUAACCUACCUAUAAGACUGGGAUAACUUCGGGAAACCGGAGCUAAUACCGGAUAAUAUUUCGAACCGCAUGGUUCGAUAGUGAAAGAUGGCUUUGCUAUCACUUAUAGAUGGACCUGCGCCGUAUUAGCUAGUUGGUAAGGUAACGGCUUACCAAGGCAACGAUACGUAGCCGACCUGAGAGGGUGAUCGGCCACACUGGAACUGAGACACGGUCCAGACGCCUACGGGAGGCAGCAGUAGGGAAUCUUCCGCAAUGGGCGAAAGCCUGACGGAGCAACGCCGCGUGAGUGAUGAAGGUCUUCGGAUCGUAAAACUCUGUUAUUAGGGAAGAACAAACGUGUAAGUAACUGUGCACGUCUUGACGGUACCUAAUCAGAAAGCCACGGCUAACUACGUG